UGCUUAUGUUCUCCCAUUUAUAUUUUACAUCACCGUAAAAGAAAAGUAAGAAAAAUAAAUGAUUCUAUCCCAAAUCAGUCAUCUUCUCCACAUGUUAUCAGAGCCAACCGACCCUUGGUUCUCUGUUAUCACAACCUAACCCUUUUUCUUUUUCUUUCUCUUUGACACCCAUGGUAGAUUCCAGAAGUAUGGAGGAACCAGGUGACCAAUCCUCCAUUCUCACAGAACUAAUUGCCAAAAUACCUGAAGUUUUGACCAAAACUCAACCCCAUACCCCAGCCACAGAGACUUCCGCUGCUCCUAUAGGCAUCAAGUUAGACGGCACCAAUUAUGCCACCUGGUUCCAGAUUGUUGAGAUAUACAUCUCCUGCAAAGACAAACUGGGCUUAUAUCAAUGGAGACCUUCCUCAACCACCUCUGACUAACCAGUCCUUUAAAAAAUGGCACUGACAAUGCCAUUGUCAAAGGAUGGUUGAUUAACUCCUUGAAACCAUUGUUAAUCAGUAACUUCAUACGAUUUCCUACAGCAAAACUUGUUUGGGACUUCAUUGAUACCACAUAUUUUGAUGGAAGUGAUACUUCUCAAGUAUACGACCUCAAGGCGUCGAGUUUCUCGUCUCCGACAGAAUAGAGGAUCUCUUGAAAAAUUUAGCGUGAAAUAGAUUUCCGUCAUCCAAAUCCCAUGGAAUGCCCGAAGGAUAUCAAACACUACAAUUCUAUCAUUCAGGAGGAUCGGGUGUAUACCUUUCUGGAUGGUCUUGAUGAUCGAUUGGAUAAAAUCAGGGGGGAUGUUCUUCAGCUACGUCCAUUCCCUACAGUUGAACAGGCAUACGCCCUUGUUCGUAGAGAAGCCAAUAGACAAGCCGUGAUGACCACAGAAAGCACCAAACCCAUGACAGGUGCUGUCUUAACUUCUAAAAGCCUUAAGUUAGGAUCAACGACCACAACUUCUACAUGAUCUGGAGGAGGAAAAUCAUCAAACAACAAAGCCACAAAUAAUGAACAGCAAUGCUCAUACUGUGGAAGCAAGAGACAUAGUCGAGAAACCUGUUUCAAAUUGAAUGGAUAUCCAGAAUGGUGGACUGAACUCCAAGCCAAAAAACCCAAAGAUGGAAUGGACAGAGGAAUGGGCAAGGCAAGAGUAGCUAAUGCAACGGCUGGUGAAGAUGCCACAUCUCACCUUUCUCUACCAUCCAAUGAAAUUGCCCAAGAAUCAGGUACCUAUAAUAAUACAGGAGUCACCCAAGAUUUUAACUCUCACUGGAAUAAAAAUAAAGCCAUGGAAAUUGGGCGUGUGUUUUACGGGAACACAACUUCAACAACUCACUGAAAUGAAACUAAAAAUCGGGGCAUUUGGCUACUAAAUUCUGGUGCAAGCGAUCAUAUGACUUUUGAUUCGGCUGAUUUUUCUGAAAUCUCUCUACAAAAAUGCACGCGUGUAGAAAAUGCUAACGGAGUGAUUUCUCCUGUCACAGGAGCCGACACUGUGAAUUUAUCCCCAAAUUUGAAAUUAUUUAGUACCCUUCUUGUUCUUUCUUUGUCUCAUAAAUUAUUAUCUGUCAGUCAGAUCACUGCAGAUUUAAAUUGUGUUGUACUUAUUUAUCCUACCUUUUGUUUACUUCAGGAUGUUCUCACGAAGGAGAUCAUUGGGCGUGGUACUAGAAGGGAGGACCUAUACUAUAUGGAGGAUUUCAAUUUAGGGCAAGCACAUCACAUGAAUCACCUCACCAGAACUAAUGAGAAACAGAUUUGGUUUUAGCAUCGUCGUUUGGGACAUCCGUCAUUUACCUAUAUGAAGUAUUUAUUUCCUAGUUUAUUUUCACAUACACAACUUGAUGACUUAAAAUGUAAUACUUACAUUUUAGCUAAAAGUCAUUGAGUCCCAUACCUAGUAAGAUCGAAUAAAAGUACUAUUCCAUUUGCACUAGUUCAUUCCGAUGUAUGGGGUCCUUCUCCAGUCUCUACUAUUUCUGGCAUACGAUGGUUUGUGGUUUUUGUAGAUGAUUGUACACGAAUGACCUGAUUAUAUUUGUUGAAAAAUAAAGAUGAAGUACUGAAUGUGUUCC
RNAcentral lists this long non-coding RNA (2066 nucleotides) under Olea europaea subsp. europaea. Lineage: Eukaryota; Viridiplantae; Streptophyta; Magnoliopsida; Lamiales; Oleaceae. The record is from RNAcentral.